CUUCUUCUCUCUUGUCUACAUCUGUUCCUCCAUAAAACCCAAUAACAACUUGAGAGUUACAUUGCAGGCAGAUUUCUCCGAAUAAAUAUGCUGAUCACUUUGUUUCAGCUUCAGCUCUAUAAUUCAUGAAAAUGGUAAUUUUUCAUGCAAUAUGUGCAGGUGCAAUCCGACACCGGUGAAACUGACUCACUUACUUCCCCUGAAAUGAUUUGCUGAAGAGGAUCACUUCGUCCAGUGAAAGUACAAUGGGAAGCCACAAAACAUUCCAAAGAGACGUGCUCAUUGAACCAUUAUUUGAAUGUAAUGCGAAACUAACACCUUCAACAUUAAAUAUAGGUAUUCAUUUCCUACCAAAGCCAUUAAGUUUGUGAGCUGGAAAGAAAACCACAAACAUGGUGUCCGACCUGCCAUGAAGAGCAGCUGAAAAUCAGAGGUGGCAAAGGGCACCAUGUCAGCACGGAGAGGAAGGAGGAGGAGGAGGAGGAGGAGGAGGAGGAGGAGCAGCAGGUGAACGCCAGAGCUGAUGUUUAUGGACAUAUUUGGAUCCAUGGAUCCGAUGACUCCGCUGCUUCCCCCCGAUAAAUGUCAGAGGAUCUGACUGAGAUGACAUUUCCACGUAGGAAAAAGUGACGCUCCGUCUGCGUCACGGCGCCGUGAUGCUGAUUAAACGACAAGCAGAGGAAAAAACAAGAGGACGGAGGGGAGAUGAGGUGUCAAGAAACAAAAGUCCAGUGAAAAAAGGGUGGGACACGGCACACGUUUGCUCAUAAGGAAAUAAAGACGCGUAUUUCCAGCUCAGCGUGAUUGUUAAACCUCAACGGAGCGCAUCAGACUUUGCUUUGCUCCACUAAUAAAAGUUUUCUCAGUUAUAAAUGAAAAUACAACACAAAAUAAUUGACUUAGUUAUGUAAAGCAAGUGUCGCCAGGCUUUUUGAAAAAUCUAUUUUAUCAACGGCGGAAAUUCAUAUUCCGCUUCAGCGUGUUUUUUUAACAAAACCCGAUGUGUCAC
Long non-coding RNA from Gasterosteus aculeatus aculeatus (three-spined stickleback), 1009 nucleotides. NCBI's taxonomy places the organism in Eukaryota, Metazoa, Chordata, Actinopteri, Perciformes, Gasterosteidae. The record is from Ensembl.